AAAAGAGAAGGGGAAUUAAAUGCAAUUUCUAGUGAAGAAAAGCAAAGAAUAAGAAAUUAUAUAUUAGUCAAGGGGAGAAUAGAAGUGAAAAUUUUUUUUUUCCUUGCAGAAUUAUAUAAGUGAAAGCACCUUCUGAAAAAGUUUGUAUAAAUCAAGAGUGAGAUUAGAAAUUUCUUUUAAUUUAUGCUCUGUGUAUCUGGAAUCCAUCCUGAGGCCUAAAUGCUGAAGAAAUAAUUAAAAUAUAAAUCUUUACUGUUAGUUUCUCCUUCUUGACUUUGUGGACAGUUGCAGUGUAUUGGUUAAGUUGUAUAGAGGAUUUUCCUGCCCAUUUUAACUUUGCUUGCAGUGUAAUAUUUACAAAUCUUGUUUGCAGUGUAAUAUUUACAAAUUUUGCUUUGAAUUUUUUACAAAUUUUUAAAAAUUAAAAAUUGAAGUUUUAAUUGGCUUUUCUAUGGCACUAACGCUAAUAUUAACCAAUGCUUCAUAAAUAUCAACAAACUUAUAUUAGAAGCAGCUCAUUUUGUGAGCUGACAUCUAAUUUUUACCCUUCCUAAUUUACUAGGACAUUAAAUUAAAAUUAUUACAGUUUUUUUGAAUACUCAGCAGAAAGGUCUGGAAACUGAUUUGGGAAAGUGUUUAGUGUUCUGUGACACUUCACACUGAAAGUACAUCCCAAAUGCCCUUCUGGUCUCUAGCAAGCACCCAGAUCAGCUGCCAGUUAUCUGUGGAAAACCUAAUUAAAGGCCUGAUAGCAAAAUUCAGAACAGCCAAAUCCUGACUGCACGGUUUACUGUAAAAGGUUUGUUUAUGCCUCACAUGUACCUCUCUGUCAGGAUGACUGCAAUGUCUCCCACAAAUGAGGAAAUAGGGCUUUUGUUACAAAACAAGUUCUGUCACUGUCACCUCAUGUCACAUGGGUGAAUCCUUUGUCUAAAUCAAGUCACUUUUCUAGGAAAUCACAGAGGUUAUCCUCUUUGCCGAAGCAAUAAUAUUCCUUAUUCACUUUACAUUUAUUUUUUUCCACCUGUCUCUUGCUAUUUCUGCGGAAAAAUCUCUCUGAUCUAUUUUUAAAUUGCUUUUGGAUCCCAGUUAAUUCUGUUCCCUUUUUCUCCCUCUCAUUUUUCGAUUCAUUUUAUUGUCUGUCUACCUUGUUGCAGGAUCCUUUCUUUGUUAUAUCCUUUCUUUGUGAAUUAAGUUAAUCCAUUUUUUGGAGUGUAAUGAACACAUUUGGAAUAAGAGUUUAUGCACAGGAAGCUGAUCAAAGACAAAAUAACCUGUCUCUGAAGGACAAUCCUUAUUAAAGUCCUUAGCCAAAUACCAAUAUUUGGGUUUUUACAUCUGCAUGUAAAACCUGGCUUUAGUUAUUUUAAUGCCAGCUUCACUUCUGGCAUGCUUGAAAGCAGCAUUAUGGUGAACUGCAAUAUGCUAAUUUUUGCAAUACUAAAACUUUUGUUAAUAGGUUCUACCAGUUGGUACAUAGGGAAGAGGAAACAUGAAAAUAAACCUCAACAAACAAUUCAGUAUGGAAUUCUCCCCAGAGAUGUCUAUUCAGCUGUUCUGAUACACAAUUUGGAAAAUUCUAUGGUGGUAUGAGGAGAGGAGGCCGUAUUUCAUCGAAUCAAGAAUUGCUAUGGUUGGAAUGGACUUCUGGGGAUCAUCUUGCCCAAAACCCCUGCCAAGGCAAGGCCACCUAGGGCAGGUUACACAGGAGUGUGUGCAGUCUUCUGCAGACUAAACUGGCCCAGCUCCCUGAGUCUCUCCUCACAUGAGAGAUGCUCCACACCCCAACUCUUCUUUGUGGCCUCUGCUGGACUUGCUCCAGUAACUCCUUGUCUAUCUUGUGCUGAGGAACUCAGAAGUGGACACAGUACUCCUGAUGUGACCUCACCAGGGCUGAGAAGAGGGUCAGGACCACCUCCCUCCACCUGAUGGCCACACUCUUCCCAAUGCACCCCAGGAUACCACUGGCCACAAAGGCGCUGCCAGCUCAUGGUCAGCUUGUCACACACCAGGACCCCCAAGUCCUUCUCCACAGAGCUGCUCUCCAGUAGGUCAGCCUGUGCUGGUACUUGAGGUUUUUCCUUCCCAGGUACAGGACCCUGCACUCUCCUGUUGAACUUCACUAGGUUUCUCAGUGUCCAGACUAGUUCUCCAGACUAUUCUGUCUGUCUCCAUCCUAUUUCUGUCUGUCUGGUUAGUUCAAGGAUAGUAAUAUCAGGGUCCCUGGCUACCAACACAGCUUACAAUUCUGGGAUUUUUUCCUGCCCUAACGCUCUCUUGUCCCCCCUUUUGUCCCAGCUAGCUCCG
Taeniopygia guttata (zebra finch) is the source of this 2307-nucleotide non-coding RNA. The record is from RefSeq and is a predicted model, not a curated record. NCBI's taxonomy places the organism in Eukaryota, Metazoa, Chordata, Aves, Passeriformes, Estrildidae.